Molecule: ribosomal RNA, 1517 nt
Filed under: uncultured prokaryote
Description: partial 16S ribosomal RNA
Rfam family: Bacterial small subunit ribosomal RNA
Source: RNAcentral
AGAGUUUGAUCCUGGCUCAGAAUCAACGCUGGCGGCAUGCCUUAUACAUGCAAGUCGAACGCGAAAGCGGACUUCGGCCCGCAAGUAGAGUGGCAAACGGGUGAGUAACACGUGGGUGACCUACCUUCGAGUGGGGGAUAACCCUCCGAAAGGAAGGCUAAUACCGCAUAACAUCCUGCCUUUGGACGGGCGGUGAUCAAAGUUGGGGAUCGUAAGACCUGGUGCUUGUAGAGGGGCCCGCGUCCGAUUAGCUUGUUGGUGGGGUAACGGCUCACCAAGGCGUCGAUCGGUAGCCGGCCUGAGAGGGCGGACGGCCACACUGGGACUGAGAUACGGCCCAGACUCCUACGGGAGGCAGCAGUGGGGAAUUGUUCGCAAUGGGCGCAAGCCUGACGACGCAACGCCGCGUGGAGGACGAAGGCCUUCGGGUCGUAAACUCCUGUCAAGCGGGAAGAAUAGUACAUCGGUCAAUACCCGGAGUAUCUGACGGUACCGUGAGAGGAAGCCCCGGCUAACUCAGUGCCAGCAGCCGCGGUAAUACUGGGGGGGCGAGCGUUGUUCGGAUUUACUGGGCGUAAAGGGCUCGUAGGCGGCCACUUAAGUCGGUUGUGAAAUCCCUCGGCUCAACCGAGGAACUGCGACCGAAACUGAAUGGCUUGAAGCCGGGAGAGGGAUGCGGAAUUCCAGGUGUAGCGGUGAAAUGCGUAGAUAUCUGGAGGAACACCCGUGGCGAAGGCGGCAUCCUGGACCGGUCUUGACGCUGAGGAGCGAAAGCUAGGGGAGCGAACGGGAUUAGAUACCCCGGUAGUCCUAGCCGUAAACGAUGAAUGCUUGGUGUGGCGGGUAUCGAUCCCUGCCGUGCCGGAGCUAACGCGUUAAGCAUUCCGCCUGGGGAGUACGGUCGCAAGGCUGAAACUCAAAGGAAUUGACGGGGGCCCGCACAAGCGGUGGAGCAUGUGGUUUAAUUCGACGCAACGCGAAGAACCUUACCUGGGUUUGACAUUAUGGGAAAAACUGUAGAGAUACAGUGUGCGUAAGCGUCCAUGACAGGUGGUGCAUGGCUGUCGUCAGCUCGUGUCGUGAGAUGUUGGGUUAAGUCCCGCAACGAGCGCAACCCUCGUCCCAUGUUGCCAGCACGUAAUGGUGGGGACUCAUAGGAGACUGCCGGGGACAACUCGGAGGAAGGUGAGGACGACGUCAAGUCAGCAUGCCCCUUAUAUCCAGGGCUGCACGCAUGCUACAAUGGCCGGUACAACGGGCAGCGACCCCGCGAGGGUGAGCGAAUCCCUUAAAGCCGGUCUCAGUUCGGAUUGAAGUCUGCAACUCGACUUCAUGAAGCCGGAGUCGCUAGUAAUCGUGGAUCAGCUAUGCCGCGGUGAAUACGUUCUCGGGGCUUGUACACACCGCCCGUCACAUCACGAAAGUUGGCAAUGCCCGAAGUCAGUGGUCCAACCCUUUUGGGAGGAAGCUGCCGAAGGUAGGGUCAGCGAUUGGGAUGAAGUCGUAACAAGGUAACC